UUUCCGUAGGUGAACCUGCGGAAGGAUCAUUAUUGUAUAACCGAGGUGCGAGGGCUGUCGCUGACCCGAAAGGUCGUGCACGCCCGAGUGCCCUCACACACAUCCAUCUCACCCCUAUGUGCACCACCGCGUGGGUACCCCUUUGGCUUGUUCGGAGGGGGGCUUACGUUUUCACACAAACUUUGUAUGCAGUGUAGAAUGUAUUUUUUGUUUUUGCGAUCACGCAAUCAAUACAACUUUCAACAACGGAUCUCUUGGCUCUC
RNAcentral lists this unclassified non-coding RNA (263 nucleotides) under plant metagenome. RNAcentral describes it as "partial contains small subunit ribosomal RNA, internal transcribed spacer 1, and 5.8S ribosomal RNA". The record is from RNAcentral.